This 746-nucleotide long non-coding RNA is filed under the name Eucalyptus grandis. RNAcentral's name for it is "long non-coding RNA (EGRA_LNC002768)". The record is from RNAcentral. Lineage: Eukaryota; Viridiplantae; Streptophyta; Magnoliopsida; Myrtales; Myrtaceae.
CAAAUGCGGACGGGCCCGCAACGCGGGCCCGACUCGGAUUUUUCGGCUUUUUUUCCUUUCUUUUUUUAAAAUGAAACGGCGUCGUGGCCGGGCGUUCGGGGACACCCGGCCCGGCCCGACGACCCGGCCCGACAACCCGCUCCCUUCGGCGAAACCCUACCCGACCCGGCUCCGACUCGCGACCCGAAUUUCCGCCGCCCCCGUAAUCUGCGGGAUCCCUACCCGGUUCCCGAUCCGGGUCCGACCCGUCUACCCGGGGUCGCGACCCGAAAAAUCGGGAACCCUAGGGUUUCCCAAAUGCGGCGACGGCGACGGCGAUAAUGGCAACGACGACGGCGACGGCGACGGAAAGGGGCUACGAUGAAUGGCAGGGACGACAGCUACGAGCUCUUUACCUUUUCUUGAACGGGGGCUACGACGACGACGGCAGGGGGGCGAUUUGCGACGGUGGGGGCUGCGGCGGGCAACGACGGUGAGGCCUGGGUUUGGCCAGAUCUGGCCGGGGCUCACUCUCUCUCUCUCUCUCGGGUUCGCUCGUCAAGCUCCCCGAAGUCUCUCGGGGACCCCUCCGAGCUCACCACACCACGGCCGGCCUGCACUCGAGCUCCCCGAAGUCUCUCAGGGACCCCGAGCUUCGGCCGCCUCUCUCUUUCUUCCUCCUUUUCCUCUCCCUGUCCGUGCCCUUCGUCGACGGUGACCCCCCUCUAUUUAUAGGCGCGGGAGCGGCCGGUCGGCGAGGCUUCGAC